RNAcentral lists this ribosomal RNA (406 nucleotides) under uncultured bacterium. RNAcentral describes it as "partial 16S ribosomal RNA". It matches the Rfam family "Bacterial small subunit ribosomal RNA", at positions 30 to 526 of the family's 1533-position model. The record is from RNAcentral.
AUUGAACGCUGGCGGCAGGCCUAACACAUGCAAGUCGAACGAGUGGCGGACGGGUGAGUAAUGUCUGGGAAACUGCCUGAUGGAGGGGGAUAACUACUGGAACAGGAAGCUACAACCGAAAACAUUAAGAUGGGCCCGAAUGGGAGUAGCUUGUUGGUGGGGUAACGGCUCACCAAGGCGACGAUCCCUAGCUGGUCUGAGAGGAUGACCAGCAAAACUGGAACUGAGACACGGUCCAGACUCCUACGGGAGGCAGCAGUGGGGAAUAUUGCACAAUGGGCGCAAGCCUGAUGCAGCCAUGCCGCGUGUAUGAAGAAGGCCUUCGGGUUGUAAAGUACUUUCAGCGGGGAGGCGUUACCCGCAGAAGAAGCACCGGCUAACUCCGUGCCAGCAGCCGCGGUAAUUC